GUGACAGACGGCGGCACCAUCAAGCAGAAGAUCUUCACCUUCGAUGCCAUGUUCUCCACCAACUACUCGCACAUGGAGAAUUACCGCAAGAGGGAAGACCUGGUCUACCAGUCGACGGUGCGGCUGCCGGAGGUCCGGAUCUCGGACAACGGCCCCUACGAAUGCCACCGGGGCCUCUGGGCCUAAGAGUGGAUCUAGGUCUAGAUCUAGGUGGGUAUGGGUCUGGGAGUGGGUGUAGGUCUAAGUGUAGGUUUGGGACUGGAUCUAGCUCUAAGUGUGGGUCUGGGUCUAGGUCUAGAUCUAAAUGUAGGUCUGGGUGUGGGUCUAGGUCUAAGUGUAGGACUGGGACUGGGUCUAGGUCUAAGUGUGGGUCUGGGAAUGGGUCUAGAUCUAGAUCCAAGUGGGUCUAGAUCUAAGCAUAGGUCUGGGACUGGGUCUGGGUCUAAGUGUGGGCCUAAGAGUGGAUCUAGGUCUAGAUCUAGGUGGGUAUGGGUCUGGGAGUGGGUGUAGGUCUAAGUGUAGGUUUGGGACUGGAUCUAGCUCUAAGUGUGGGUCUGGGUCUAGGUCUAGAUCUAAAUGUAGGUCUGGGUGUGGGUCUAGGUCUAAGUGUAGGACUGGGACUGGGUCUAGGUCUAAGUGUGGGUCUGGGAAUGGGUCUAGAUCUAGAUCCAAGUGGGUCUAGAUCUAAGCAUAGGUCUGGGACUGGGUCUGGGUCUAAGUGUGGGCCUAAGAGUGGAUCUAGGUCUAGAUCUAGGUGGGUAUGGGUCUGGGAGUGGGUGUAGGUCUAAGUGUAGGUUUGGGACUGGAUCUAGCUCUAAGUGUGGGUCUGGGUCUAGGUCUAGAUCUAAAUGUAGGUCUGGGUGUGGGUCUAGGUCUAAGUGUAGGACUGGGACUGGGUCUAGGUCUAAGUGUGGGUCUGGGUCUAGGUCUAGAUCUAAGUGCGGGUGCGGGUCUAGCUCUAGGUCUAAGUGUAGGUUUGGGACUGGGUCUAGGUCUAAGUGGGGGUCAGGGUCCAGGUCUAGGUCUAGAUGUAGGUCUAGGUGUGGGUCUAGGUCUAGGUCUAAGUGGGGGUCUGGGUCUAGGUUUAGGUCUAAGUGUAGGUCUAGGUGUGGGUCUAGGUCUAAGUCUAAGUGGGGGUCUGGGUCUAGGUUUAGGUCUAAGUGUAGGUCUAGGUGUGGGUCUAGGUCUAGAUCUAAGUGGGUCUGGGUCUGGGAGUGGGUCUAGGUCUAAGUGUAGGUCUGGGUCUAAGUGUAGGUCUGGGACUGGGUCUAGGUUUAAGUGGGGGUCUGGGUCUAGGUCUAAGUGUAGGACUGGGACUGGGUCUAGGUCUAAAUCUAAGUGGGUCUGGGUCUGGGUCUAGGUCUAAGUGGGGGUCUGGGUCUAGGUCUAAGUGUAGGACUGGGACUGGGUCUAGGUCUAAGUGUGGGUCUGGGAAUGGGUCUAGAUCUAGAUCCAAGUGGGUCUAGAUCUAAGCAUAGGUCUGGGACUGGGUCUGGGUCUAAGUGUGGGCCUAAGAGUGGAUCUAGGUCUAGAUCUAGGUGGGUAUGGGUCUGGGAGUGGGUGUAGGUCUAAGUGUAGGUUUGGGACUGGAUCUAGCUCUAAGUGUGGGUCUGGGUCUAGGUCUAGAUCUAAAUGUAGGUCUGGGUGUGGGUCUAGGUCUAAGUGUAGGACUGGGACUGGGUCUAGGUCUAAUUGUGGGUCUGGGAGUGGGUCUAGAUCUAGAUCUAAGUGGGUCUGGGUCUGGGAGUGGGUCUAGGUCUGGGACUGGGUCUAGGUCUGGGACUGGGACUGGGUCUAGGGCUGGGUCUAGGUCCAGAUCCAAGUGUAGGGCUGGGUCUGAGUCUGGGACUGGGUCUAGGUCUAGGUCUAAGGGUAGGGCUGGGUCAGGGCCUAGGUCUGGGUCUGGGAAGCGCAGGUCUGGUUUUGGAUCUGGGAGUGGGUCUAGGUCUGGGUCUGGGACUGGAUCUAGGUCUAAGUGUAGGUCUGGGACUGGAUCUAGGUCUAGAUCUGAGUGUAGGUCUGGGUCUAGGUCUGAGUCUGGGUCUGGGUCUAAGUGUGGGUCUGGGUAAGUAGAUUUGAGUUUAGGUCUAGGUCUAAGGUCUGGGUCUAAGUGUGGGCCUGGGAAAGCAGGGAGCUGGGGCUCCCGAGCCGAGAGGUGAUGUUUGGGGGUCCUGGUGUAGGUGUCUGGUGGGUUCUUGCCUUGGUUUUCUGCAAGCCAGAGGGGAGGUGGUGGCCCCUUGUUAGUGUUAUCUCCUUGAGGGUAUAACUUCGGUGGUGGUGUCAGUGUCCUGGACAGGCUCACAUCUUGGGUGGGGGGGGGCUUCACCCUGUAGAGAUGUCGCCUCCAACCAUCUACACCUGGUCCCAGGAGACCCAGGCCACGCCCAGAGCCUCCCUUGGGGGAAAUGAGGCCAGAGAUGCCCCACAUAGGCUUGCUGGCCAUCACUGCCCAACUCACCCCCACCUGGGGGUGGCCAGCAAACAGGGCAGUUAGCAAGGCAGUUCGCAUGGGCAGAGAGCAGGGCCAGGGCCCCUCAUUCUGCCCCACCAACCUCCACCCUGGGCUGGGCAACUCUACCGCAACAGUCCCCAGGUAAGGCUGGGCUCUCCACCAGGGCAGGCUGCUCCAGCCUUCCUCCCCUGGAGACCAGAGGGGGAGAAGAUGGUGUCUUGACCAGGGCACUCGGCUGCAUCGUCUUCACCGGGAGAGCUCCAGCCACCUUCAGCGUGGCCUCCAAUGUGCACAAGUGUUUCGACAUGCUCAGCACCUAGAGCCCCUCCUUGGGCUGCCUUGCAUGCUGGAGGCUUCCCAAGGACCUCUCCCAACCCAUACCAAACUGGAAAAUAAACCAAGUCCUGCAUUUUGGCCCCCUGCA
RNAcentral lists this long non-coding RNA (2876 nucleotides) under Struthio camelus australis. Its description in RNAcentral is "lncRNA (ENSSCUG00000016078.1)". Lineage: Eukaryota; Metazoa; Chordata; Aves; Struthioniformes; Struthionidae. The record is from RNAcentral.